CCUACGGGAGGCAGCAGUAGGGAAUAUUGCUCAAUGGGGGAAACCCUGAAGCAGCAACGCCGCGUGGAGGAAGAAGGUUUUCGGAUCGUAAACUCCUUUUGUUAGAGAAGAUAAUGACGGUACCUGACGAAUAAGCACCGGCUAACUCCGUGCCAGCAGCCGCGGUAAUACGGAGGGUGCAAGCGUUAUCCGGAUUUACUGGGCGUAAAGAGAGCGUAGGCGGGAGAGCAAGUCAGAUGUGAAAGCCUGUGGCUAAACCCUGGGACUGCAUUUGAAACUGUAAAUCUGGAGUGUGGGAGGGGUAGGUGGAAUUCUUGGUGUAGGGGUGAAAUGCGUAGAGAUCAGGAGGAAUAC
RNAcentral lists this ribosomal RNA (354 nucleotides) under uncultured bacterium. RNAcentral describes it as "partial 16S ribosomal RNA". It matches the Rfam family "Bacterial small subunit ribosomal RNA", at positions 338 to 709 of the family's 1533-position model. The record is from RNAcentral.